Long non-coding RNA from Dermacentor silvarum, 779 nucleotides. RefSeq lists it as uncharacterized. The transcript has 4 exons. NCBI's taxonomy places the organism in Eukaryota, Metazoa, Arthropoda, Arachnida, Ixodida, Ixodidae. The record is from RefSeq and is a predicted model, not a curated record.
CGAGUGGUCGCUAAUGGCGGACGGUGGAGGUGGUGUUCCUGGCGCAUUUGUGAUUUCACUCUAAAUAGGAAGGAAUCGGCGCUGGAUUGUUACACAGCUGUUGCACCAGUGAAGGAUGUCUGUGUGCCGCCUUGCAUUCAGUUUCUCAGCCAUGGGGGCCUGCUUGCAACACCAGUGGAAAAGCAGUCUUGCAUUGUGCUAUUUGUUCUGGAAGGACACAAGCAUUGAGGAGCCAUUUGACCUGCCACUACACUGAUAUUUUAUUUGGCAAAGCAGGAGGCAUGUGCAAGCAACUAGUCAUUCCGAUUCUCAACCAAUCCUUCUUCUAGUCAGGCCAUUUCUAGUGUCUUAUCUUGCAAGUUCUUUUUUUCAGUAAAGCACAAUAAACAUGCAGUUUCGUUCAGAUUCAGGUGGCUUGUUGCUUUUUGGGCACGAAUUUGUAUGUAUGCUUUGUACACGUCAUGUACAGAACUCAAAUGCAACAUGGCAACACUGACACGAAAAUGACGCGGUGUAAAAGACAGUUACCCAAGGAGGAAACGUGCACACACAGCAUGUUGAGCGUGGUGUAUGUCCGCUUAUGUGCAUUGAUUUCUGCCCCAUUUCAAGCUAUAUCUGAUGCGAGUUAGCCAUGUUGUUAUGUACAACUUGGUAUAACUUAUUUCAAUGAAACAAACAAUUUUCUCAUUGUCUGGACAUAUGCACCCGCAUCAUCAUUUACAAAACAAAUUUUCAGCUGUUGAUACGAAGCAAGAUAAAGCUGAACAAGUUCGUACGGA